This 67-nucleotide transfer RNA is filed under the name Marmota monax (woodchuck). RNAcentral's name for it is "tRNA.Asp". It matches the Rfam family "tRNA". Rfam says of the family: Transfer RNA (tRNA) molecules are approximately 80 nucleotides in length. Their secondary structure includes four short double-helical elements and three loops (D, anti-codon, and T loops). The record is from RNAcentral. Lineage: Eukaryota; Metazoa; Chordata; Mammalia; Rodentia; Sciuridae.
GGUUGUGGCUCAGUGGUAGAGCACUUGCCUGUCAUGUGUGAGGCCCUGGGUUCAAUCCUCAGCACCA